Zea mays is the source of this 269-nucleotide long non-coding RNA. RefSeq lists it as uncharacterized. The transcript has 3 exons. NCBI's taxonomy places the organism in Eukaryota, Viridiplantae, Streptophyta, Magnoliopsida, Poales, Poaceae. The record is from RefSeq and is a predicted model, not a curated record.
CAAAUUUGUGUUUAUCUUGGAGCAUUGAUUUAACAUUUUUGUUCUUUCUUAUCUGCAGGAUUUAAAGGUUGUUCUAGGUCCUUGCAGGAUUAAGCCUAACAAAACAGAGAUUUGUGAUUAAAAGUUGGUUCAAGGUUCUUGCAAUAUUAAGCCUAGCAAAACAGAUUCGUGGGCAGCAAGGAAAGGAAGGUGUUGUAGUUCAGAAAAUCCAAAAACAACUAGGAGAUUGUCGAGCUCUAGUGUAAGGUAAGUUCAACUAAUUUACCUUG